CUAGCGUGAAUGACUUCCUUCUUUCAACUCCAUUUCUCUCUUUCUCGUUUCUCUCUCUUAUUCCAAUUUUCUCCCUCCUCCUGGACAUUAUCUCUGCUCUACGAUUCUCACCUUCUUCAAGUUGUCCCUUCGAAUUUCUUCAAUUUUCGCCAAGUAAGUUUACAAUUGUAUUUCCAUUUUGAUUGUUGAAAUUUGGGUUUCGAAAUUCUUUGUAUAGUGUUCCGUGAUUUUGAUGGAUAAACUUAGGGCUUUUAAAAUUGUGGUUUUGUUUCUGUUUGUGCUACUCCGAUUGCUAUAUUAGGGAUUUUAAUUGCUAUCUUGUUUUCGUUUUUGCAAUUGUCAUUGCUAAUUCAAAGCGUAUUUAUAAUGAGGUCCUAUGUGAAUUCUUCAAUGCAAUGGUUAUUUCAAUUUGGCUUCUGCGAUUGAAAGGGCAGCCAGCAACACUCAGUAAGCUUGCUAAGAGUAUCGAGUCUUUGACUGACACUCUGGAAGUUGUUAACUAUACAGAUUCCUAACCACUGCGGGCUGAACUACUUCGCUCAAGUAAAGCCAGACAUUGUACAGCGCGUGUAUGGCAUCAUCAAUGUAACAUCCAUUACGAUUAUUAGUUAGAAAGGGCGGCAUAGUUUCGCAAGUCAAGGGCAAGGUGACUUGUGGCUGACUCGAGUAUUUGAUUGAGUAUGGAUGAUUAGUUCUUCUUCCUUGUGAGUAAUUAUGGCUGAUUGAUGUUGGUUGGAGUUGAAUGCGCCACAAAGAUAGAAGCAUAUAUGAAAUCAGAUUGGUAUUCUCUUAUCUCAAUUCCUUACUUUCCUGUUAUUCUUUCUCAAUUGUGAAUCUUCUGUUCUUCCUCCCUCUUUUUGCAGAUACCUGAAAAUUUUUGAGUGGUGCAGGAAGAUAAUGCGCAUAAAGAGAAUAACAUCGUAUUUUUAGAUUUAUAUUUUUAAAUGAUAAUUUUUUUUCUCAUCUUAAUAAUUCGUCAUUUACUUAUUUUGAUGUAAAGUCAUGUCGUUCGACAAUGAGAUUUUUGAGAGGUACUAAUUAUGUAAUGACUUAAAUUAUUUGUAGAUACAUUUUUUUUGGAGUUAAUACUACCAAUAUUGAUUUUCAUGAAA
Molecule: long non-coding RNA, 1112 nt
Organism: Spinacia oleracea (spinach)
Lineage: Eukaryota; Viridiplantae; Streptophyta; Magnoliopsida; Caryophyllales; Amaranthaceae
Exons: 3
Source: RefSeq, a predicted model, not a curated record